Molecule: ribosomal RNA, 253 nt
Filed under: uncultured bacterium
Lineage: Bacteria
Description: partial 16S ribosomal RNA
Rfam family: Bacterial small subunit ribosomal RNA
Source: RNAcentral
CACGUAGGGCGCAAGCGUUGUCCGGAAUUAUUGGGCGUAAAGAGCUCGUAGGCGGUCUGUUGCGUCCGCUGUGAAAACUCGGGGCUUAACCCCGAGCCUGCAGUGGAUACGGGCAGACUAGAGGUAGGUAGGGGAGAAUGGAAUUCCCGGUGUAGCGGUGAAAUGCGUUGAGAUCGGAAGGAACGCCCGUGGCGAAAGCGAGGCCCUGGACCCUUUCUGACGCUGAGACGCGAAAGCCAGGGGAGCGAACGGG